UGCACCAUCCAGCGGUCAGCACGGAUGACCUCGGUGACUCCACACAGGAACCGCACCUGGGGCAGCCCUGAGGGAGGCGUGGAGAAGUCCCACCUUUCAGUCCCACUUCAGGGCUCCAAGGUGCCCUUUGGAACCUGAGAAAAGGAUCCCACCCUCACCAUUGUGGAAGGAAGGAGGAUGCUCACAGUAGAGGCUACACUACAGAAGACAGCUGAGUGCGAGCGGCGGAUGGGCAGCGUCAGGUACACCCAGAGUUGGGGAACCUCGGCUGUCCGACAAGGGCCACAGAAGAAGGGAUCCCCUGAGCAGAAAAGAAGCCUGCUUCCAAGAGACCCAGGGUGGGCACGAGAAUCCUGAGUCUUCUCCCCAGGAAGCAGGGGACUCUCACGUGUGGAGGUUAACAGUGAGUCUUUGGAGCGAAAGGAGUCGGAGAAAGCUGGAUACCGCCUGGCGAUGGAUUAACGGUCCUCAGACUCCGCCCUCCUCCCCGCCCCAGCGCCACCGGCCGUCAGCUGGAUCCUGACUGGCCGAUGGAGGAGGGAGGCGGAGGCAGAGGGACUCCUCAAAUCUGGGGCCGGACUUCCUCACAUCUGGGGCUGGACUUCCUCACAUCUGGGGCCGGACUUCCUCCCUCUGGGCUUUGGGCCCUCUUCGCAUCCGCCGGUCUUCUGCUCGCUGCUGCCGCCGAGGGGUCAAUUCCGAGUGAAGCGCAACACUGCUCGCCGAUCUCCUCGCCUAAUCCAAAGCCUGGUUUUAACGCAAGCUGUCAGGAGGAACGGGUUUUCUUCGCUAUGAAAUUUCCUCCUCCAGAACUCUUUCUACACGUCUUAUCUGCUUUCUCCCACAGGCGGUCUCAGUCCAAUCCCCGGCUCACUAAUAAUAACGACGACAUCAGCACAGGACUAGGUGGCUUACUAAUUGCACUUUCGGCGUUUUCUCAUUUGAUACUUGAAAGAGCCAGCCCCUUCCUUCCUCUCCCCCUGCGGUCCUUUCUCGCUGUGCUUUUGCCCUCCCCACUUUUACAGCCCUAAGCUUACAACAGUCUUGCAGAGGAGCUGAAAGGGUGUUUCGCUGUCUUCCAGCUUCCAGAGAACUUCACCUCGUGUUGCUUCUUCUUUGGGCAGCUGACACUCAUUUUAUUGAACCUCUGGUACAGCUGAUUAUACCUCGUUGAAAUACUCUCUUAACUUCCACAACAUACUCCCCUCGUUUUUCCUACGUAUUGGCUGCUUCAUGUCUGUCUCCUUUGCUAAUCCCUUUCCCUCAACCAGACCUCUCAAUGUGGGAGGACUUUCUUUUUUUUUUCCUAUCUUUUCCACUCUCAUGGCUUAAUUAUCAGCUACAUGCUGAUUCUCAAUAUUAUAACCCCAGCCUGCCCUUCUCCCCUGAACUCCAGACUGUAUUGCCAUUUGUCCUCCUGAUGAUAUCUCCAUACAGGUGCCCAAAUGGCAUGGUGUUUUUUUAAAUUAAUUAAUUUAUUUACUUAUUUUUGGCUGCGUUGGGUCUUCGUUGCUGCACGUGGGCUUUCUUUUUAGUUGCGGUGAGCGGGGGCUACUCUUCAUUGCGGUGCGUGGGCUCUUCAUUGCGGUGGCUUCUCGUCGCGGAGCGCGGGCUCUAGAGCGCAGGCUCAGUAGUUGUGGCGCACGGGCCUAGCUGCUCUGCAGCAUGUGGGAUCUUCCUGAACCAGGGCUCGAACCCGUGUCCCCUGCAUUGGCAGGCGGAUUCUUAACCACUGCGCCACCAGGGAAGCCCCUAAAUGGCAUGUUAAACUCACUCUCUCCAAAACAAGAGCUUUUACUCUCCUUCUCCAAUACCAUAUAGACCUGUUUUUCUCCUGUCUUCAUCAUCUCUGUAAAUGGCACCUCCAUUUUUGGCUCAAGUUAAAAACCCACACCAUAUCCUUGAUUCCUUCUUCACCCACCACCUCCAAUCCACCAUCGAAACCUAUUGUUUCUGCCUCCAAAAUGUUUUGUUGUUUUUUAGAAUUGUAGUAUAGUUGACAUAAAAAGACAGCCUAUGGACUGGGAGAAAAUAUUUGCAAAGAAUGCGACUGACAAGGGCUUAAUUUCCAAAAUAUACAAACAUCUCAUACUACUCAGUAAUAACAACAAAAACAAAAAAACCAAACAACCCAAUCAAAAAAUUGGCAGAAGACCUAAAUAGACAUUUCUCCAAAGAAGACAUAUACAAAUGGCCAAUAGGCACAUGAAAAAAUGCUCAACAUCGCUAAUUAGAGAAAUGCAAAUCAAAACUACAAUGAGGUAUCACCUCACACCGGUCAGAAAGGCCAUCAUUAAAAAGUCCACAAACGGGCUUCCCUGGUGGCGCAGUGGUUGCGAGUCCGCCUGCCGAUGCAGGAGACACGGAUUCAUGCCCCGGUCCGGGAGGAUCCCACAUGCCGCAGAGCGGCUGGGCCCGUGAGCCAUGGCCGCUGAGCCUGCGCGUCCGGAGCCUGUGCUCCGCAACGGGAGAGGCCACAACAGUGAGAGGCCCGCGUACCAGAAAAAAAAAAAAAAAAAAAAGUCCACAAACAACAAAUGCUGGAGCGGGUGUGGAGAAUGCACACUGUUGGUGGGAAUGUAAAUUUGGUGCAGCCACUGUGGAAAACCGUAUGGAGGUUCUCUAAAAAACUAAAAAUAGAUUUACCAUAUGAUCCAGCAAUCCCACUCCUGGGCAUGUAUCAGGAGAAAACUGAUGCAAAAAGAUACAUGCACCCCAAUGUUCAUAGCAGCACUAUUUACAAUAGCCAAGACAUGGAAGCAACCUAAAUGGCCACCAACAGAUAAAUGGAUAAAGAAAAAAUUGAAAUAUAGUUGAUUUAAAAUGUGUUUCAGGUGUAUAGCAAAGUGAUUCAUAUAUAUAUGUAUAUAUCAUAUCCUUUUUCAGAUUCUUUUCCAUUAUAGGUUAUCAAAAUGUAUUUUGAAUCUAUUCACUUCCCUCCACCUCCACCCCACAACCUAGAACUAGCAACCUGUCAGCUCUCCCCUGGAUUACAGCAGUAGUCUCAUAAUCUCACUGGAUUCCUAGAUGCCACUCUGGUCCUCCUACAAUCCUUUCUCUGAACAGCAGCAGGUGGGAUCUUUUCAAACACAUAAAUCAGAUUUUGCUACUGCUCUAGAUAAAAGCUCUCAAUGCCUCCCCAGGCUAUUGCUUUUAGAAUAAAAUCCACAGUCCCUCCUUACCAUAGCCUGAGGCCAACUCCCUCCCCUUUUUCCUCUGUGAUCUCAAAUCUACCACUUUCGUCUUUACUCACUAUACUUUUGUCACACUGGCUUCCUUGGUGUUCCUUGAAGACCCUAUGCCAGAGGCUUUGCAUUUGCUCUUUCUUCUGCAUGAAAUAUCUUCCGCCUUUCACUGUGACUGUCUGCCUCUUUUUGGUGACUGUCUCUUUCUCAUCUUUCAGGUUUCAGCUGAAAUUUCCACUCUGUGGAAAAGCUCCCCCCCACCACUCACACCAUAUCUAAAAUUGGCUCCCCAAUUAUUAUUUUAUUACCUGUUUACUUUCCUUAGAGAAUUUAUCAUAUUCUGUUGUUAUCGUGGUCAUUUGUUUAUUUGCCUAUCAUCUCUCUCUUCCGGCUUCAAGAAGGCAGAGAUCACCCCUGUCAUGUUUAUGGCUUUGUGCCCUGUGUUUAGAACAGUGCCGAGACAGGGUAGCCUCUCAACAGAUAUUUAUUUAUUUAUUUAUUUAUUUAUUUUUUGCGGUACGCGGGCCUCUCACUGUUGUGGCCUCUCCCGUUGCGGAGCACAGGCUCCGGACGCGCAGGCUCAGCAGCCAUGGCUCACGGGCCUAGCCGCUCCGCGGCACGUGGGAUCCUCCCGGACCGGGGCAUGAACCCGUGUCCCCUGCAUCGGCAGGCGGACUCCCAACCACUGCGCCACCAGGGAAGCCCAACAGAUAUUUAUUGAAUGGAUAUUUAUCAAUGAAUAAUGAAACCAUUCUCUCCAAGUCCCGACCCCUCUAUCUCUACUAUCUCUUGAAUCUGCUCCUGCCAUCCUUAUAACCACUGGCCUGGUUCAAGUUCUGUCACCUCCAACCUGGAUUUCUGUAACAAUCUCUGACCCAAUGGGUCUCCAUGUCUCUCUUGCCCUGUCACCAUUCUUCACACAGCAAUUAUGAAAAUGAGGUUUCAGAAUGAAAAUCUCGUCAGGCCCUGCUUCACUGCUUCAGUGGCCCCCAGCUAUUUGCAGGAGGAAUUUCAAAUCUUUCAGGUCAGCACUCAAAGCACUUAGUGCCAUCUUUCCGAACUCCCCACCACCAUCACAUGCAUAUGACCGCAGAAAUCUGCCUAUAGUCCCCUAACAAGUCAGGGUCUUCUACAAGUUCUUACUUUUGUGAGAUGUUCCCACUUCCUAAAUUCCCACUGCACCCCCCCUGCCCCCAUCCAUCGAACCCUGCUAGAAUACAACUUAGUCACUCCAGCCCCUCUGGGAACCAGCUCUCAGCACACACCGUGUACCCUUCUCAGGACAUAUCUACCCUCCUACUGGUUCAUCAGCUCUACAAGGCAGGGCCUAGGCCUUUCUGUGGCCUGGUCACACAAGGCUGCCAAAACACAUCAUUUAGAGAGAGCACUGGAGUCAGGACAGGUUUGAAUUCUUGGGCCACCACUUACCAGUCAAGUGACCUUAAACAGGUCCAAGCCUUGGAUUCUUGAUCUGUAAAAUGAGAAUGAAAAUUCUAUUUAUUUCAUGGAUGGGUACCUACUUUUGUGAGGAGUUUCGUACAGUGAGCAGAUAACAGAGGUGCUCCAAAUUCUUCUGAGUGAACAAAUAAAUGCCAGGAUGAAGUAUUGGAAAACACCCCACUUCAGAGGCACUCAAUAAACUUUGUUGAUUAAAUGGCACAUAUGCAAAAUAGACUCCAUCCCUUCCACAGCCCCAGACUUUCAGUGACUUCCCAUUGGCCUGAGGUUGAAAUGUAGUCUCCUCAACACAGCUUCAGGGUCCUCUCUACACUGAGCUCUGUCUGCUUCUCCAGCCUGGCCUCCCUAUACACACACACACACACACACACACACACACACACACACACACACACACACACAAACACACACACACACAAUACUCUUUCAUGCCUCCAUGCCUCCAUGUUGUUCACACUGUCUCCUCUGCCUGGAAUGCCUGUUCCUUCUGCCCCGGUUUUAGUGCCCUUCCUUCCUCUAUGCCUUUAUCCUCACAUUUAACACAUAGUUUUCUCUGUUUACAUGCCUUUCUCUCCUGAAAAAGGACAGGGACCCUGGGUCCUGCCAUUAUCUUC
Molecule: long non-coding RNA, 5257 nt
Organism: Physeter macrocephalus (sperm whale)
Lineage: Eukaryota; Metazoa; Chordata; Mammalia; Artiodactyla; Physeteridae
Exons: 4
Source: RefSeq, a predicted model, not a curated record